This 262-nucleotide ribosomal RNA is filed under the name uncultured bacterium. RNAcentral's name for it is "partial 16S ribosomal RNA". It matches the Rfam family "Bacterial small subunit ribosomal RNA", at positions 513 to 774 of the family's 1533-position model. The record is from RNAcentral.
AGCCGCGGUAAUACGAAGGGUGCAAGCGUUACUCGGAAUUACUGGGCGUAAAGCGUGCGUAGGUGGUUUGUUAAGUCUGAUGUUAAAUCCCGAGGCUCAACCUCGGAUCAGCGUUGGAUACUGGCAGGCUCGACGGUUGGAGAGGCGAGUGGAAUUACCAGUGUAGCGGUGGAAUGCGUAGAUACUGGUAGGAACACCCAUUGCGAAGGCAGCUCGCUGGACAACACGUGACGCUGAGGCGCGAAAGUGUGGGGAGCAAACC